RNAcentral lists this transfer RNA (75 nucleotides) under Methylotenera sp. Its description in RNAcentral is "tRNA-Ile". It matches the Rfam family "tRNA". Rfam says of the family: Transfer RNA (tRNA) molecules are approximately 80 nucleotides in length. Their secondary structure includes four short double-helical elements and three loops (D, anti-codon, and T loops). Lineage: Bacteria; Pseudomonadati; Pseudomonadota; Betaproteobacteria; Nitrosomonadales; Methylophilaceae. The record is from RNAcentral.
AGCCGGGUAGCUCAGGGGUAGAGCAAUGUGCUGAUAACGCAGAGGUCGUGGGUUCGAUUCCCACUCUGGCUACAA